AAAAUAGCUUAAGAGAGACUAGCACGAGGAAACACACAUUGCUGAGGAGUAUCUUAGAAAAGCAGAAGAAAUGGGUUCAACCGUGGUCCAGAUCUUCCAGAUCUUUCUUAUCUCUACGUCCAUCUUCUCUGCUAACGGAAGUCUGCGAUUUAAAAUUCCCAUAGACUAUACAAUUCCUAUAGAAAGCUGGACAAGUACUGAAAAACCGUUUCAAUGCAGUGAGCCAGGUUUCUUCGCCGACCCGUCGAACUGCCGACGUUUUUAUCGCUGUUUCCACUUCGGCUCUUCUUUGUCACCGGUACAUUUUGAUUGUGCUCCUGGUACGAUUUUCGACAAAAGCUUGCCCACCUGUGUCCUUCCUUCAGACUCAUCCAGACCCAAUUGCGAAGGAAAAGGACGUUUUCGUUAAAGGACUUAAGGUGUGGAUUAAGCGCAGCAAAGCACUACUGAUGGGCAAAGCCGUUCGUUUUGAGGAAACGAGGAAUCCUUUCGAGCAAUAUGAUUUAUUAAACUGGCACAAUUGAACUACGUAUAUUUUCGUUCAAUUUUUGAUAAAGCAAAAAAAGUUCAUUCUUUUUGUAUAUUUCCAAAAUUUUCUUUUGUGCCGGUUUAAAUUGGUUUGACGUAAUUUUGGCCAAAUUCGGAAAUUAUAGUUUUUUAUAUUUAAAAUAAUAUACGAUUGUGAGGUAUUAUUAUUUUUUAUUAUUCUGCAUCUUUCACACAUUUUAUCUUCUA
RNAcentral lists this long non-coding RNA (735 nucleotides) under Cimex lectularius (bed bug). RNAcentral's name for it is "uncharacterized LOC106666258, transcript variant X1". Lineage: Eukaryota; Metazoa; Arthropoda; Insecta; Hemiptera; Cimicidae. The record is from RNAcentral.